UUUGGCUCGGGAGUCGAUGAAGAACGCAGCUAAAUGCGCGACAUAAUGUGAACUGCAGGACACAUGAGCAUCGACACUUUGAACGCAUAUUGCGGGCUUGUGCUUGUCACAAGCCCACCUUUGGGUCAGGGUCGGUUAUACAACAUCCAUCGGRUGGCUUMACAGCCGCCCGCUYUGUCCUGCCAAGCCUUUCGUGGGCUUGCGGGAUCAAGUUGCAUCCUGUGGCYGGUGCGCCCGCAACGACUCCUGGGACACACAAUCCCGGGUCGAGGCGGCGCCUGCCCAAUCGGAUGGAGCCGUGUGGGGAGCUGACUGCUCUAACAUCCCCUAUCGACGGCGAUCCAUAUUUUUCUCGACCUGAUCUCAAGGGAGACUACCCGCCGAAUUUAAGCAUAUUAAUAAGCGGAGGAAAAGAAAAUAACAAUGAUUCCCUUAGUAAUGGCGAAUGAA
Molecule: ribosomal RNA, 450 nt
Filed under: Temora stylifera
Lineage: Eukaryota; Metazoa; Arthropoda; Copepoda; Calanoida; Temoridae
Description: eukaryotic LSU rRNA
Source: RNAcentral